UGAGGAAUAUUGGUCAAUGGUCGGGAGACUGAACCAGCCAAGCCGCGUGAGGGAAGAAGGUACAGCGUAUCGUAAACCUCUUUUGCCGGGGAACAAGAGCUUCCACGAGUGGGAGUGUGAGCGUACCCGGAGAAAAAGCAUCGGCUAACUCCGUGCCAGCAGCCGCGGUAAUACGGAGGAUGCGAGCGUUAUCCGGAUUUAUUGGGUUUAAAGGGUGCGUAGGCGGCGAGUUAAGUCAGCGGUAAAAGCCCGGGGCUCAACCCCGGCCCGCCGUUGAAACUGGCUGGCUUGAGUUGGGGAAAG
RNAcentral lists this ribosomal RNA (303 nucleotides) under uncultured bacterium. RNAcentral describes it as "bacterial SSU rRNA". It matches the Rfam family "Bacterial small subunit ribosomal RNA", at positions 355 to 656 of the family's 1533-position model. The record is from RNAcentral.